This 301-nucleotide ribosomal RNA is filed under the name uncultured bacterium. RNAcentral's name for it is "partial 16S ribosomal RNA". It matches the Rfam family "Bacterial small subunit ribosomal RNA", at positions 509 to 807 of the family's 1533-position model. The record is from RNAcentral.
CAGCAGCCACGGGAAUACGUAGGUGGCAAGCGUUGUCCGGAAUUAUUGGGCGUAAAGGGCUCGCAGACGGUUUCUUAAGUCUGAUGUGAAAGCCCCCGGCUCAACCGGGGAGGGUCAUUGGAAACUGGGAAACUUGAGUGCAGAAGAGGAGAGUGGAAUUCCACGCGUAGCGGUGAAAUGCGUAGAGAUGUGGAGGAACACCAGUGGCGAAGGCGACUCUCUGGUCUGCAACUGACGCUGAGGAGCGAAAGCGUGGGGAGCGAACAGGAUUAGAGACCCGCGUAGUCCCUGUCUCUUAUAC